AAGAUACUUAAUUAUAAUGGAUGAUAUGUGGAGCAUUGAUGCAUGGGAUAGAGUUAGAAAUUAUUUUCCAAAUAACGAAAAUGGUAGCAGAAUAGUGGUAACAACUAGGCUAUCAGAUUUGGCUUCUACAUUACCCAACUCUGAUAGCCUUGGGAUGAAACUUUUGGAUGAUGAUGAAAGUUGGCAGCUUCCAUCCAAAACUGUGUUUGGGGAAGAAGGUUGCCCUCUUGAAUUGGAGGAAAUCGGAAAAAAGAUUGGAAAAACCUGCAAAGGACUUCCAUUGUCGAUUGUUGUGGUGGGAGGCCUUUUGGCCAAGUCCAAACAUGAAAAAGAGUUUUGGAAAUACAUAGGGGAAAACUUUAAUGAUGCAAGUGUUAAUUUAGAGGAUGAUGAACGUUGCUUGAAAAUAUUAUACAUGAGUUACAAGCACUUGCCAAUACAUUUGAAACCAUGUUUUCUCUAUAUGGGAGUUUUCCCUGAAGAUAAGAAGAUUUUUAUCUCAGAGCUCAUUAAAUAUUGGGUUGUGGAAGGAUUUGUGAAAGCAGUAAGUGGGAAAAGCUUGGAAGAGAUAGCAAAAGAGUAUUUAAAAGACCUUAUUAGUAGAAAUCUUGUUUUAAGUCAUGAGUUGGAUAAUAUUGGAAACAUAAAAAAGUGUAAAAUUCAUGACUUGUUGAGAGACUUGUGUUUGAGAGAAGCUCAAAAAGAAAGGUUUUAUUAUACCGCGUUAGAUAAUGUAGCCAUAAGAGUCUUGCCACCUAUGUCACAAGCUCGUUCUUUGACGUGGAAUGUUCAAAAAAUACAAUCACCUCUCAAUGCGAGCUUGUUGAGGAUAGUGAAAACAACUGGAGUUGAAUGGUUAAAAAAUGAUUUAUUUGGACACACGAAUCAAUUUGUUAACUCACGGUUCGUUCAAAUAAGUUCUUACGGAAAAAGAUUGAGGAAUUAUCCUUGUUCAAUAUGGCGAUUUUGGAAUCUACAAACAUUAAUUGUUGACACCAGCGAUGUGGUUACUGCGCCAACUGAUUUUUGGUACAUGCCUCACAUCAGGCAUGUUGAGUUCGACAACGGUCUUCGUCUCCCAGAUCCUCCUAACGACCGAGACGACAUUGUUUUGGGAAAUCUGCAAAGUUUGGGGAAAGGAUUAGAUUUCAAGUGUAGCAAACAAGUGGUCAAAAAAAUUCCCAAUAUAAAAAAAUUGGUUUUUUCUAAUUGGGGAGAGCUUGAUGAUGAGAUGUAUUGUUUGAGCAAUCUCGAUUGUCUAACUAAACUUGAGUCCUUGCAAUGCGAGAUUUCUGGAAAGUGUGUCAUCAACUUUCCCCAUUCGCUCAAGAGUUUAGUUCUUCGUAACAGCAUAUUGAGUUCGUGGCAAGACAUAUUGGAUAAGGUAGGUGCGUUGCCCCAUCUUCAGAAGCUCACACUCUGGUUGGGGAGUUUCAACGAAGGGAAGUGGGAAACAAGUGAAGGCCAAUUCCGCAGCCUCAAAUUCUUGACUCUUGAGUAUAGUAAUCUAGAAACAUGGGAAAUUGAAAGCUCCCACUUUCCAUGCCUUGAGUGCCUUCAUCUUGAUGGACUAAAUGAGUUGCGGGAAAUCCCUUUAGAUUUCGCAGAGAUAGCCACACUUAGAGAAAUUGUUGUGGAAGGUUGCAGUGAUUCGACAGUGGUUUCUGCAAAACGAAUAUCAGAGGAACACGAGGACUAUUACGGGGAAGAAGCCCUUCAGGUUCGCGUUGUCCUGUGGAGUAAUAACGAAGCAGGACUUGAGAGCUUAGAUGGUCCUAACUUUUGUGUUGGACGUUAAUGAGAAUCACUACUACUAAGGUACACAGAAGAAACUGUAGAUUUGGUUUAAAUUGAUUGGAUUCCUAGUUUUGAUUUCUAAUAUUUUCGUGAUGGAACAAGUGUGCAGUGCAGGUAGUGUGUGGGGAAAGAGCACAUCACAGAAUGAAUCCAUUCAUGCGUAUCCGUGGUUGGUGCUCGUGCUCGUGGUAGGGCCACUUUCUCCACCCAUGUAUGGGCCGAGUUGGACGCUGCAGCUCUUGUUUCACUCUUCAGGUAGGAAUGGACCAGCUCAAACAAGACACACAGUUACCCGGAUUCGGCUUAUUCUGCGUGGUAUACAGACCCGAUUUACUCACAUCCAUCGAGAGGGCAACCGCCUGGCAAAUUUUAUGGCUCGCCAUUGCUCCUAGGUAUUUGUUUAGAUCUUGUUAGAAUGGAUCAGCUGGGAUAUCCUAAUUUUAGAUUUAGAUAUGUGUAGGUUGACUUUUGUGCUUCAUGUUUAGCUCUUUAUGUAUUUUUCUGUGGGGUUGUCACUUGUGGGUUUGACUUAAGUUGGUGUUCCUUUGGUUUUUGAGCUUCUUAGUUUGUUUUACUUCCGACAUCUUACUAUAUUUGAUGAUAGGUAGGUUGCUUGUCUUAAUGUUCUUUGAGGCCUUAGUCACUUUUGGACUAAAUCUUAUUGUAAUCUUUGACUUUGAUUGAUAUCUAUUCCACCUUCAAAAAANAAAAAUUAUGAUAGAGGUGUAUAGAAAGUUUAUUGGACAAACAGUUCCAUCCGCUAGAUUGUAGGACAUGAAUGAAUUAGUAAAAAUGUGUUCAAAUCACCUAUGAAUCUGAUGGCCGCCAUUAAACUCUGUUUCAGGAUUAUGAUUCUCUCGAAGAAACUAACGAUCGUGAAUGAAGUUCAUGCGACACUUCUUACCUUGGAAAGGUAUAUAUUCAGUUCUUUUUAUGAUUCACAACACACUCAUAUGUAACAGCUGCAGCAUAGUAGAUUCUUUUGUUUCAGCAAAGUAGAUUCUCGAGUGAUGACGACGCAUGACUGGAGAGCUUGGAUAGUCGUGACCUUCGUGUUAGACGUAUCUGAGAAUCACUGCUACUAAGGUACAGAAAAGAAACUGUAGAUUUGGUUAAACUUGAUUGGAUUUCUAGUUUUGAUUUGUAAUACUCCAUUUGAGUGAUGGAACAAGUGUGCAAUGCAGGUAGUGUGUGGGGAAAGCGCACAACAUAGAAUGAAUCCAUUCAUGAAUUGCACCAUUUUUCAUUACUCAGCUGUAUUAUUUCUUGCUUAUCUCUUUCAAAGAAAGAUGACUAAAUUAUGAUAGAGGUGUAUAUAAAAGUUUUGAAUACUUUGUAAUGUUAGGUUGCUUUAAAUACAUAUGGAAUUGGGAUUAACAUGAUUUUCUUUAUUGAUUUUCUCCAAGCAACGGGACAAGCUGGAGCUUUUAUUGGGUCAAAUUCUAAUUUCCAGUCUCUGUUUCUACUGUCAUUCUUAUGGGCUCAUUUAUAAUAAUACUAGCAGAAACAACGUGCGGUGCACAUUUCACUAAUGUCGUUUUAUGUGAUAAAAGUUAAAUAUAUAGAUAUUAUUAUAUAGUUUGAACGUGUAUUAUUUUAUAUGAUGAAAAUAAAAUAUAUAGAUAUUAUUGUAUAGUUUGAAAUAUUUUUAUUAAUUGAAGUUAUGAAAUUUACUUACUCAUUUGUCUAUUAAAAUUUAAAACAAUAAUUCAUAAAACUAUUAAUGAAUAAAUUAAAAUAUAACAAAUUAAUACUCAUAAUAUACGGCUUAAUAAAAUUGCAAAAAAAAUCUAUGAAAAAUGUCCUAAAUUAUCUAAGUACGAAGCAAGACGAACUUUUUAUUUUUUUUCUUGUUUGAUUUUGACGAUUGAUGAUCUUUUCUUCUUAUUUUUGGUUUGCGAUAGAAUGUUGUUCAGUAUGCCUUAUAUAUUCAUCAUCUAACUUAUUUCACCAGGACUGAUCACGAAAGACGAAUCUUGUGCAGUGGUUCCUCUCAGCAUGAUAACAAAUAACUUUCUAUAGAAUUAAUUAAUAAAAAUUUCAGCCCUAUAUAUCAUGAGUUUUCAAUAAAUUAAUUGAUAAAAAUUUCAGCCAUAUCAUGAUGACAUAGAAAAGGAAAUUAAAGUUUUCAAUAAUACUGCUCUAGUGUGAAUGGUAACUGUAUAGUGAGAAAUUAAAGUUUUCAAUAAUAGAGGUAGGUUGGAAACAAUCUCCCAUGUGGGCAAAGACUUUGAGAAUUCAUAAUUAAUCAAAGUCUCUCAUCUUCAUCUUCAUUCUCAUUCUCAUUCUCAUCUCAUAUUCUCUGCAACUCCCAAAACAACCAUGGCAGCAGCUUAUGCAACUCUUGUUUCUGCUUUGAAUAUCAUAAACAACCUUCACCAUCAUCCCCGCCCUCCUAUUUCUCUCUCCAUUCAACAAGUUGAGUCUCUCACUCAAAAGAUUAAUUUCCUGCUCGAAUUUGUCGAGGGGUAUAACCCCCAUCGUGACUACUCCAAAGAAGCGGAUCCAUUGGAGUCUCGCAUUGCAGAUGCAGCUUAUGCCGCCGAACACNUAGUAGAGGUAGAUUAUUUGGAGAUGAUAAGAUGUCAAUUAAUGGAUAAUAAUGCUGCUCCAGCCGCUAUCUUUCAGUCUGAAUGCUAGCUGUGAAGUGAGCAAUUAAUAGAGGUAGAUUGGAAAGACUUCGAGAAUUCAUAAUUAAUUCAUUCACACUCUCUCAUCUUCAUUCUCAUUCUCAUCUCAUAUUCUCUCCGCAACUCCCAAAACAACCAUGGCAGCUGCUUAUGCAACUCUAGUUUCUGCUAUGAAUAUCAUAAACAACCUUCUCCAUCAUCCCCGCCCUCCUAUUUCUCUCUCCAUUCAACAAGUUGAGUCUCUCACUCAAAAGAUUAAUUUCCUGCUCGAAUUUCUCGAGGGCUAUAACCCCCAUCGUGGCUACUGCAAAGAAGCAGAUCCAUUGGAGUCUCGCAUUGCAGAUGCAGCUUAUGCGGCCGAAUUCGCCAUUGAAUCUCAUAUUUUCGAUGAGCUGAAAAAUGAUGGAGAAAACAUUGUUUAUCUAUCAAUAAGAAAAAUAAAAAAUAUAAUAAAAAAAUAUAUGGGUUCUGAUGGCUUGUACGAAGCUCUGGAGAAGGUGAUAGAAGACAUGGCUUCUAUCGAAGAGGAGGCCAAGCAAAUUCAAGGGAGAGUUGGAGUCAAACAUCUGCUGCCUCCUGAUUCGUCGAGAUCUUCUUCGAUUCCGCAGCAGAGUAUCAUGGUGGGUGCUGAUGAUGUCAAGCUUGAUAAGCUCACUUCUCAUUGCCGCGAUCUACAAAUCAUUCCCAUUGUAGGGAUGGGCGGCUUGGGUAAGACCACUCUUGCUAGAACUGUUUAUGAAGAACGUCUUCUUAAGAAGCAUUNUUAUAUUUGUGCUUGGGCUACUAUCUCUCAAGAAUAUACCAUUAGAGAAAUUUUUGCAGCUGUUCUUGCCAGUAAAUAUAGGAGUUGAUGAAAUUUAGGAGCUGAAUUAGAAAAAUUGUAUCAACAUCUUUAUCAUAGAAGAUACCUAAUUAUAAUGGAUGAUAUGUGGAGCAUUGAGCAUGGGAUAGAGUUAGAAUUAUUUUCCAAAUAACAAAAAUGGUAGCAGAAUAGUGGUAACAACUAGGCUAUCGGAUUUGGCUUCUAAAUUAUCCAACUCUGAUAGCCUUGGGAUGGAACUUUUGGAUGAGGCUGAUAGUUGGGAGCUUCUCUCCAAAACUGUGUUUGGGGAAAAAGGUUGCCCACUUGAAUUGGA
This 5563-nucleotide long non-coding RNA is filed under the name Salvia miltiorrhiza (redroot sage). RNAcentral's name for it is "long non-coding RNA (SMIL_LNC007354)". Lineage: Eukaryota; Viridiplantae; Streptophyta; Magnoliopsida; Lamiales; Lamiaceae. The record is from RNAcentral.